Molecule: long non-coding RNA, 517 nt
Filed under: Elaeis guineensis (African oil palm)
Lineage: Eukaryota; Viridiplantae; Streptophyta; Magnoliopsida; Arecales; Arecaceae
Description: long non-coding RNA (EGUI_LNC029163)
Source: RNAcentral
AACCAUCUCCAUUCUCAGAUAUGAUAAGCGUGCAGUGUUUGAUCAAUUAACACAAUUAAAUUUUGAACAGAAAGGAAUCUUCAAUUUUUAGCAUAGGCUGGAAGGGAUUACCAUACUAAACACAAGUAAAAUAGAACAAUAAAACUUAAAGCUGUAGGAUUGAUUGUUUCAAAGUUCAUCAUAGACAUGUGGCACUGGUAUUUCUACUUGUGGAACUGCAUUUCCAUGAGCUGGUGCGUGAUUCAAGCCAUCUCCAACUGCCACUCUCUAGAUUUCCACAGCCACCUCUUCAUGUCCUUUUGAACCUGUCUUGAUAGCUGCAAGCAGCUUCCUCUGCAACUUUAGCAGCCCAACCCGUUUCAACAUAACAUACAGCACCGCGGAUAAGAACAUGAGAAAUCCCGUCACCAGUAUCACUCUGCGAGGAGUAUAGAAAUAAUGCAUGUUAAUUGGAGUUUGGACUAAAAGAAAUCACCAUCCCUUAUCUCCAGUAGCCUUGCUAAAAGCUUCAUCCAAG